AAGACUUUCAACUUGCUAUUUUGAAAUAAGUGCAGACUCACAGAGAGAAGUUACAAGAACUGUAGAACACAUUCCUAGAUGCUGUUAGCCCAGAUUUGUUGGUUGCCAAUAUUUUUUUUAAACUAGCUUUCCCGUCCUUCCUCUGUAUUACAUGUUACGUUCUUUUGAACCACUUGAGAACAUGUUGGAAGAUCUCAUACCUCUUUAUCGCCAGAUAUUUUAUUUAGCACAUACACUUUUGAAUCCCAAGAAGUGCGUGCCUUGAUUCCUAGAGGCUCAUGGGCUGUAGCUUAAGAACCGCAGUCUGCAACUUCCCAGCUGUGACUUGGCUUUCCACACUGUGACUAAGGGCCCCUUCUCUCCCUCAGGAAGAGCCAGCAGCCAUGCCUGCCCUCCCAGGCCCAUCCGAUGCAGAGCUCCAGAGAAGCAUCUCCCCGGAACAGAGGAGCUGGGCAGCCUUCUCUACAUCUCCAUCUUCUCCUGGCACCCCCUUGUCCCCUGGAACCCCCUUUUCCCCUGGGACCCCUCCUGUCUUCCCAUGCCCCAUCUUCCCUAUCACUUCACCCUCAUGCCAUCCCUACCCGUUCUCACAGGUCUCUUCAAAUCCCUGUCCACAGGCCCCCAGCUCCCUACUUCCCUCCUCCUCCGGUGCUUCUCAGGUUCCAUUCCCAUCCCCUUCCCUUCCCACCAGCUCUCCCCUCCCAUUCUCUCCUAGUUAUCCCCAAGUCCCU
RNAcentral lists this long non-coding RNA (731 nucleotides) under Rattus norvegicus (Norway rat). RNAcentral describes it as "long non-coding RNA NONRATT004908". Lineage: Eukaryota; Metazoa; Chordata; Mammalia; Rodentia; Muridae. The record is from RNAcentral.